Molecule: ribosomal RNA, 498 nt
Filed under: uncultured bacterium
Lineage: Bacteria
Description: partial 16S ribosomal RNA
Rfam family: Bacterial small subunit ribosomal RNA
Source: RNAcentral
AUUGAACGCUGGCGGCAUGCCUUACGCAUGCAAGUCGAACGGUAACAGGUCUUCGGAUGCUGACGAGUGGCGAACGGGUGAGUAAUACAUCGGAACGUGCCUAGUAGUGGGGGAUAACUACUCGAAAGAGUGGCUAAUACCGCAUGAGAUCUACGGAUGAAAGCAGGGGAUCGCAAGAACUUGUGCUACUAGAGCGGCCGAUGGCAGAUUAGGUAGUUGGUGGGAUAAAAGCUUACCAAGCCGACGAUCUGUAGCUGGUCUGAGAGGACGAUCAGCCACACUGGGACUGAGACACGGCCCAGACUCCUACGGGAGGCAGCAGUGGGGAAUUUUGGACAAUGGGCGAAAGCCUGAUCCAGCAAUGCCGCGUGCAGGAUGAAGGCCUUCGGGUUGUAAACUGCUUUUGUACGGAACGAAAAGCCCCGGGUUAAUACCCUGGGGUCAUGACGGUACCGUAAGAAUAAGCACCGGCUAACUACGUGCCAGCCGCCGCUGUAA